UACAGAGGGUGCAAACGUUGCUCGGAAUCAUUGGGCGUAAAGCGCACGUAGGCGGUCCAGCAAGUGGGGAGUGAAAGCCCUCGGCUUAACCGAGGAAGUGCGUCUGAAACUGCUGAGCUUGAGUGUCGGAGAGGAUGGCGGAAUUCCGCAAGUAGAGGUGAAAUGCGUAGAGAUGCGGAGGAACACCGAUGGCGAAGGCAGCCCCCUGGGCCAAUACUGACGCUCAGGCACGAAAGCGUGGGGAGCAAACAGG
RNAcentral lists this ribosomal RNA (253 nucleotides) under uncultured bacterium. RNAcentral's name for it is "partial 16S ribosomal RNA". It matches the Rfam family "Bacterial small subunit ribosomal RNA", at positions 524 to 776 of the family's 1533-position model. The record is from RNAcentral.